CUUAAAUUCUACCCAGAGACCAGUAGGCAGAAAAAGCAACUUUUUCACUUAUUGUUAAAUGCAAAUUCAAAAAAAGAUUAAAGCCAUAUUAUCUAAUCUGUAUCACCUUUUAAGAGAGGAGCCUGGUCAUCUGGUCAAGCACGGAAGUGGGCGACUUGCAGGAAUGAUGACAAUCAAUCUUCAUGUAACACUUUGAAGUGCUGUCUUGUGUAUGGCUUCCAGCUGUCUCUGUUCUCCUGUGUUCAGCCAUGCUACUCUGACCCAAAAAGCUUUAAAAGGAAUGCUGGAUCUCCCUAAUUAUCCUGAUCCAAAUGGAAGGUCAGGUUUUUAUUAUAAUAUAAUAUUUCUUUGUGUAUGUGAGAGAGACUCUAAGGGAAGCUGUGGAAUCUCCCUCAUUGGAGGUUUCCCAACAAGAGCCUGGGACCAAGCAUCUGUGUGGGAUGGUUUGGAAAUAGCAAACCUAUUUGUGUAAGGGGGAGGGGAGGAAUUCUGUAAAAUUCAUGUAGCGAUUCUUAGUCUGUCUAAAAUCUAAUGUUCACAGACACAUCUGUUCUCUCCUUUAAGCAGCACUCAGCUGCAUUAGGCUGCUUGUGUAAUGCUUAGAAACAGCUCUUGGAUUUUAGCACAAACUGCUGCAGACGGCUGGAUUCAUCCAGGUUUGACCAAGCUCAUGUGGUUUAUUUAAAUGAGUCUUGUGCCAGCUGAACUGGAUGUUGAUUUUAAUAUGUCCUGCAGAUGUGCAUUUCAACUGCAAUUGCACAUUGGACAGCAAACAUUUCCUUAGCAAUACCUCCCAUUCUGCAAAAGGGUUCUCCAGAAAGAGUACAUUGAAAUACCCUUUAAAAUGGAUCCUCAAUUUCCAGAUGGGCACAUAUAUGUAGAAAAUGAGCAAAUGAUACAAAAUAUUAAGAGCUGUGUUUGUAUAACACUGGUUUCUGUGGGACGUUCCUAGAAACGGAGCAGCAAGAAAGGAAUGUGGAAAGUUCUGACCCAUAUCUGAAGAUGAAUGGUGAGGAAACUGAGGCAGAAAACUGCUGGCAGCCUAUCCAAGUCAGCCUGGAUCACCAGCCUAUCCUCAGGUGUGGAUGCUCUACCCCAAAGUUUGGUGUCAUUGGUAAACUUGGCCAGUCCACUUCUGACACCAAUAUCCACGUUGUUGGUAAAGACGUUGAAGAGAACAGGUCCAAGAAUGGAGCCUUGGGGGUCACCACUGGUCACGGAGCACCAUGAUGAUUCGCUUCCAUCAACCACCAGUCUCUGGGUCUGACCUCGGAGCCAAUUCCCCAACCAUUGGACUGUGAUGCACCCGAGGCCACAGUUGGCCAAUUUUUUCAGGAGGAGAUCAUGGGACACCAGAUCAAAGGCUUUUUUAAAGUCCAGGUAUGUGAGGUCAAUCUCUUCUCCCUUGUCCAUUUGUAGCGGAUGCAGCA
Molecule: long non-coding RNA, 1430 nt
Organism: Alligator mississippiensis (American alligator)
Lineage: Eukaryota; Metazoa; Chordata; Crocodylia; Alligatoridae
Exons: 3
Source: RefSeq, a predicted model, not a curated record